RNAcentral lists this ribosomal RNA (427 nucleotides) under uncultured bacterium. RNAcentral's name for it is "partial 16S ribosomal RNA". It matches the Rfam family "Bacterial small subunit ribosomal RNA", at positions 355 to 774 of the family's 1533-position model. The record is from RNAcentral.
UGGGGAAUUUUGGACAAUGGGCGCAAGCCUGAUCCAGCCAUGCCGCGUGUCUGAAGAAGGCCUUCGGGUUGUAAAGGACUUUUGUCAGGGAAGAAAAGGGCGGGGUUAAUAUCCCUGUCUGAUGACGGUACCUGAAGAAUAAGCACCGGCUAACUACGUGCCAGCAGCCGCGGUAAUACGUAGGGUGCGAGCGUUAAUCGGAAUUACUGGGCGUAAAGCGGGCGCAGACGGUUACUUAAGCAGGAUGUGAAAUCCCCGGGCUCAACCUGGGAACUGCGUUCUGAACUGGGUGACUAGAGUGUGUCAGAGGGAGGUAGAAUUCCACGUGUAGCAGUGAAAUGCGUAGAGAUGUGGAGGAAUACCGAUGGCGAAGGCAGCCUCCUGGGAUAACACUGACGUUCAUGCCCGAAAGCGUGGGUAGCAAACA